Molecule: unclassified non-coding RNA, 5758 nt
Filed under: Polistes canadensis
Lineage: Eukaryota; Metazoa; Arthropoda; Insecta; Hymenoptera; Vespidae
Description: aDP-ribosylation factor-like protein 4C, transcript variant X2
Source: RNAcentral
AUGCUAUUGGUCGGUAUAUUGGUAAUAAAGUCGUUGAUUGUGCAUAAGUUUUUGGGGACGUAUCGACGUUUACCGGUCCUCGAUUGUUUGUUGUCUCUUCUUAUAUUGGUGACAAGUAAUUAUUUAUUGAUAAAGAAUGUAUAUAUACGCAUAAAAGUAAAAUAGGCUAAUAAUAUCGCAAGGCAGUAAGUAAAGAUAUUUAAAGUGACUUUAUGAUUAUUAUGAUCGGUUUUUCAAGUUCGAUGAUAAGUAUGUCAAAGUCGAUGUGAUGUGUUACUGUGCGACCUUUCAGGACGACGGCCUCCUAAGUGUUAUAUAGAUUUGGAUACGUUCUAUGCACAGAUGAACUAAAGGAAUAAUAAGAAGAAAGAAGAGGUUGAUUGACAGAAGAGAUCCUUAAAGGGUUCAAGAAGAUAAUUUGAUAGAAGAAAAACAUAAAAAUAACAAAAGAUGUGGUACAGUACUCAUUGGCCUCAAAAAAAACUUCUCUUAGAUGAGAUAAAAAUUAUGAGAAGAAUAGAAGAAAGAUGUUUUAACAACGUAUCAUCAACAUAGAAAACAUAGUAUAAGAAAAAAGUAAGGUUCAAUACAGAAGAGAAGCAAAGCAAUUGCAUAGAUGUUUGAUAAAAGUAGGACAGGGUAAGAAGCACAAUUAUAAAAAGGAGAAUAAAGAGAUUAAAAAUUUGGAAAAGGUGGGUAGAAAGGAAUGGGUGCUGGGUUGGGCAGAAGCAGCACCAGUGGAGGUGGUCUGCUCGAGGCUCUUCCCACAGGAACGCCGCUUCAUGUAGCUAUGCUAGGUCUUGACAGUGCAGGAAAAACAACUGCCCUCUAUAGAUUAAAAUUUGAUCAAUAUUUGAAUACUGUACCGACCAUUGGUUUUAAUUGUGAAAGAAUUCGUGGUGGCAUUGGUAAAGCAAAAGGAGUAAAUUUUUUAGUUUGGGACGUAGGUGGACAGGAAAAGUUACGACCUCUGUGGAAGUCAUAUACCAGAUGCACAGACGGUAUUAUUUUUGUUGUUGAUUCUUGCGAUGCGGAAAGACUUGAAGAAGCAAAAAUGGAACUUACAAAAACAGUUAGGAGUCCUGAUAAUGCGGGUGUGCCCAUUUUAAUUCUUGCUAAUAAGCAAGAUUUAUUGGGUGCUAAAGAAGUGAGCGAAUUGGAAAAGCAACUUGGUGUCUCGGAACUGGCUGGGAUGCCUGGUAGUUCUAGCAUAAGGGUGCAGCCUGCUUGUGCUAUUACAGGGGAAGGUUUACACGAAGGUCUGGACACUCUUUAUCAAUUGAUAUUAAAACGACGUAAAUUGGCCAAACUAAACAGGAAGAGGGCUAGGUAGGCCAGGGCUUCGGAAGACUGCACUUGCGUCUUCUGAUAUUGCCCACGGAUGAUCUCUAUUUUGAUAAUGGAAAUGCCCACCGUGGGCCUCUCCGUAUUAUCUAUUUCAUUCUUGUCAACUUUCUCACCCAUAUUGUUGGCAGCUAAGAAGUGCUCAAUUAAAUAAAUAGAUGGCUAAAACAGCAAUAGCCCCGUCACAUCAAGUCUUGCAAUCAAUUUAAUGUUGAAGAGCUGAGACUAAUCAAACUUGAUUAAGCAAAACAUCCGCACUUGUUAGACUAAGUAAUACAAGAUUGAUAGCUUCAUCUAAAGAAAAUUCUUUACUCUAUAUAUGACUUGAAUUCAAUUCUGAUAAGAAGAGCAUACCAUCCAAGUAGUUGGUGGAAUUUCAUAUUGUGGAUUAUCACUUUUUAAUCCAAGAUUUAAUAGAAGAUAUAUAUAUAUAUAUAUAUUAUAUUAUAUUAUAUUAUAUAUUGUCUUCUAUUCGCGUUCAUGAUAAAGUGUGAAUGAUGGUUUUACAUCUUAGAACCUUACUAUAGUGCCACUUAGUCUGGAAGUGAUCAAAGUUGAAAAUGACAAAUCAUGAACUACUAAUUUUUUUAAAGAGGAAGAGUAGCAUUACUAGAUCAGGCUUUUAAUAAUUUUGGACUUAUCAUUGUGGUGAAAGACAGCACUGUUAACGGGACAAUAAAUAAGGUUGAAGUGUGUAUUCAUGUGAACAUCCCAAUUGGAGUUUUGGAUUCACAAUAAAUAUAUGGAGUAUUAGUACAUAUACUAUUAUUCCAAAAUCAGUUGUAACUGUGGCAUGUGUUCUACUAGGGAAAGAAUAGUGUUUCAUCUAUUCAUUCAAACAUCCUAUCUUUACUUAAGAGUGAUUGUCUAUAAGAAUCUUGGAUCUUAACUCUGAUUGGAAAAGUAUGAUUGUUCAAUGCGCCGUAUUAACCUCCAGAUUAUACAAUGACUUAGUAUGCAUCAUAAUGCAAAUAAAUAGUAUGCUAGCACUGAAAGAGGCAGUUACAAUUAGAGACUGUCUCAUUCUCAGGGCCUUUAUGAUAAUUCAGACCUCUCACAUGAUAAUAAGAAGAUAACAUCAAGAAGCCAGGAGCUCUCAAAUUACAUGAGUUUUAAAUGCAAUCAAUAAGCACUGUUUGCACUUGUCAUUGCUAUAAUACCAAUAAUGUUACUGACUGUUAAUAAUGAAAAUGGGAGAUUAAAAAAGAGCAAAUUCAUAAGUUUAUGUGAAUACAGCGCAGCUUAUUAUAUUUAGCCGGCAGGUAUUUCUGUUGGUUAGGUUUAAGUGUACCACUUUUUUGGCCUUCAUAGAUUGCAGUAUAGUUUAUAUAAUUGUCAUUUCAUUACCCAAGACAAGCUGUCAAUCAUUUGAUAUUAAAUACGGGAGUUAUCGAUGUAACUUCAGCUCCUGAAUUAACAUGAGUUAAUCUAGUGAGAUAUUUGUCUACUGUGAAAUUGUAUACAAAUGUUCCCAAUUUGUAAUAUACACUUUGGUGGAAAGCUUGUUUUCCCAUAUACUGGCAUUUGAAUCUGUAUAUUUGUGCUCAUUUUGUGCAUGUUUCGUGUUGAGUACAUACAUGAAAUCUCUUGUCAAUUUGUUUAAAUCUAUAAACGAUAUUAAUAUUCGCUAAAGUGCUUUGUUUUUAUAGUGUGAAAUGUAGGAUUACAAAUUUCCCACAAAGUGUGUGAUCAAAAGAGUGAAAGACUGAUCAUUUAAUUUGAGACAGUACAUCAACAAAGCAACAGAGAAUGGAUUAUUAAGAAAAUGACAAGGAGUCGAUGUAAAAGGUCAGUUUAGAAAUUGUUUAAGAUUCUUUUUAAUAGUCCAUAAUAGCUAAUAGGUCGAUUCGCUGAGAUCAGUCAAUGUUAUGGAAGGAAAAAUUUGAUGGGUAAUUUAAUGUAUGGUAGAGUACAAGUUAAAAAAUUGAAUAUAUUCUACGUACGUCUAUCUAAUCAGUGAGAAUUUUAUCCCAUAUCAAUAAUGUGGUGUGAACUGCGAUUUUCAAAUUAUACAUAAGUUUAAAUACAAAAAGUCAGCGCAUAAAAGAAACGUAAAACAAUACCUUUAUAAGACAAAAAUCUAUGUAUAAGUUGCAUAUUAUUUAUUUGAUGUUACUAUCGGCAGCUUCAUCAUAGAUUCAUUGAACCCUUGAUCAUUAAAACAAAAACGGAAAACAAUCUGCUAAUAUAUUACUCUUUAAAAAUAAAGUGCUCAGCCAUCGGCCUAAGAGAUAGAUGGAUGUGCUUCCUAAUGACAAAAAUCAUUAUUUAUUAUAGUAGAAAAAGCUUUAAUAUAAUCGCAUAAUUACUCUCGAGGUGACUUGCAUAAGUUUAGAAAUUUUGAAGAUAAUCGUAUUUCUGCGAUUUUUUGCACCUUUAUACCUUGAAUAAAAGAAUUUAAUUAUUCCCUUUGUAUGGGUGUUCUAAACUUAUUAUAGAUGGAAUUGUAAGUAGUAAAGAGAUCAAUUUUUUCUAACACAUGUAUAACACAUUAACUUGUAUUAAAAUACAUAUUUACAUAUAAUUAUAUUUAUCAUUCUUUAUUGUGAUAUUUUUAUCUCCAUAUGCCAAAUUAAAAGAGGUAUCGUCCUUUUUAAAAUUCACAUUGCUAACUUCUACACUUUUGAGAUAAUUUAUUGGUGCUAUUUUAAGUAACUUACAAUCAUCUCCAGUUGAAGAUUACAUCUAGAAAUUAUUUUGUAGAUCCAUUGAAAUAUCUCGUACACAAGUAGAUUUAGUCUUAUAUUCAAAAUCAUGUUUUAAUAAUAUUUGUAUGUUUUCAAUAUUCGCGAUCUAUUGUUUUUCAUUUCAUUUUUAAAUAUAACAAAUAUGUUUACAUGUGUAUUGAAGAAAACUUUGAUAAACAGAAAUGCUGUGAUAAUGUUAAAAUAUAUUGUGGGUGCAUAUCAUAUUGUUUAAAUAGAGCGAUUGUCAUUCUUGAUGAUUGCAGCACUCUUUAAUUUUUUUUUAUUGCAGCUAGUAGCCUAGUCUCAAAUUUUUGUCAUAUUGAAGGAAGCUUAUUUAUCAAAACACAAAGAUAAAAAAUCACAACGAUUCAUUUAAAGUGCUGUUGUACUAAUAUUAUAAUAUGCUUUAUAUAUAUAUAUAUAUAUAUAUAUAUAUAUAUAUGACUGAUGUGCGAAAUACAGUGAAACAGAAAACUACUCUAUGCAGAUUGCAAUGAUAAGACAAAAAAGUAAUCAUCGUACUUUGUUGUGUGUUACGUUUGAAAAUAAUUUAUUUUAUAUGAUUUUUAGAGUGACAGAAAUUUUGUUUUAAUACUGCACUGCCUACUUACGCUUUUAAUAAUAGCACUUAAGCAUUUUUUUUCAUAGUAUCAAUAUGAGACUUAGUGUUUUAUAAAGAAUUAUUUUCUAUCAUUUUGAAAACACUAUUUAAACUUUGUAUAGUCUUAGACAUCGUCAUUGAAGGUGAUUCUUGAUCAUUUUUCAAUUCCGAGUUCAUAAAGAUAGUUGGAGAUUAUCGAGUGAUAUGUGUUGUGUAAAAUGAUUUUAUAAAGGAAUGUAAACAUUCACACAACACUCUAUUUUCCAGCAUUGGACAAUAUUUUAUUUCAAUUCAAUAUAAUAUUUUUAUUUACACUGAUAUUAAAUUAUAUGAUACAAUCAAGUUGUCAGCUAAUUGUCAAUAGUUUGUUAAUUUUUAGUAUGUCUAGAAAAAUUACCAAUUACUCUGUAGAUAUGUGUAAAAUCAUUGACAAUCUAUUCUGUAGAAUUAUAUAUUUUCAUCUCAAUUUGUUUUGAUCAAUUAUUUGUAAUCUUUGAUCGGAAUAAAAUAUUGCCCAACAAAUACUGCUAUCUUUCAUACUUUUUAUCUCUCAUGUACUGUGUAGUGUGAACGUCGAUUUUGUGAUCGUGUAAAUUACAAUGAUGGGUAUAUUGAUUGUUGCACAUCUUUAUACAGUUGAUAUGAUAUUUAGAUAUUUGUUUAACUUUCAUGAAUAUUUUUCCUAUAGAUGCAGAUUGUUAGGAGAAUUUUUAGUAUCUAUUGUGAAAAUGAAUAAUUUAUUAUUGUCUUUAUUUUGAACAAUAUGUUAAGGUACAUGAAAUUUUUAAUAAAUUCAUUAAUUCUGUUAAAUUGUAAUCCGUACUUCUAAUUAAUUUUCCUUAUUAUUUUUGAAAACUUUUGAACGGAAUAAUCAGAAUAUCAUACUCCAAUCAUGUGCCAAUGAUAAAGAAAAGCGUUGCAUAAUAAACUUAUUGUUAGAUUUAAAUACAUUGUAUUACGUAUCUACGAAUGUUAUUUGUAUUCCUUUUCAAAGUGCACUUAAUUGAAUAAGAAUUUGUAUUCGUUUAUUAUGUGUUUCAAUGUAACAAAUUGUUUUUAAUUCAACUGUUAUCAAGAGAAGCGUAAAUCUUAAGUCGCUAAUAUUUGUAAAUAUAUGAUUUAACUU